RNAcentral lists this transfer RNA (77 nucleotides) under Oscillochloris sp. Its description in RNAcentral is "tRNA-Arg". It matches the Rfam family "tRNA". Rfam says of the family: Transfer RNA (tRNA) molecules are approximately 80 nucleotides in length. Their secondary structure includes four short double-helical elements and three loops (D, anti-codon, and T loops). The record is from RNAcentral. Lineage: Bacteria; Bacillati; Chloroflexota; Chloroflexia; Chloroflexales; Oscillochloridaceae.
GGGGCUGUAGCUCAGUUGGACAGAGCAGCGACCUUCUAAGUCGACGGUCGGCGGUUCGAGUCCGCCCAGCCCCGCCA